Molecule: transfer-messenger RNA, 349 nt
Filed under: Candidatus Aminicenantota bacterium
Lineage: Bacteria; Candidatus Aminicenantota
Also listed under: 1 other name
Description: Candidatus Aminicenantes bacterium (hot springs metagenome) transfer-messenger RNA
Rfam family: transfer-messenger RNA
About the family: Bacterial tmRNA, also known as 10Sa RNA or SsrA, is named for its dual tRNA and mRNA-like properties. Its role is to liberate the mRNA from a stalled ribosome. To accomplish this part of the tmRNA is used as a reading frame that ends in a translation stop signal.
Source: RNAcentral
GGGGGCGAAAGGAUUCGACGGAGGUCGUGAGGCGCGAGUGGCAUGCCGAGAUUCCAUCAACCUCGAAAAACGGUGGACCAAAUAAGUGCAGAAGCACUCCCUCUCGCUGCCUAAGAAUUAGGUCAGCCGUCUCUCAGGCUCUCGCCUGCGGGGCUUGAAGAGGCGUCGAGGAGCAGGCUAACUUCCCCAGGUUGCCUUGGGCUGGGGGGGUGAAACCAGAACUGAGGCUGGCUGAGCGUGGCCUGGCCUCUUCAGACCGCGUUCAGCGAGAUUAAAGAAGAGGCUGAGCAUGGAGACACUUCGCGCUGAAGGUCUUCGGACGCGGGUUCGAUUCCCGCCGCCUCCACCA